CAACUCUGGAAAGUCGGGUUUGACCCGCGCCGAAGGUGUAAGUGGAGGGGUAAGCCUUUCACGAGUCUCUCAGGCUUGCGACAGAGGGGU
This 90-nucleotide non-coding RNA is filed under the name Ditibartonella apis. RNAcentral's name for it is "Glycine riboswitch". It matches the Rfam family "Glycine riboswitch aptamer", at positions 6 to 89 of the family's 94-position model. Rfam says of the family: This family represents the bacterial glycine riboswitch. Glycine riboswitches usually consist of two metabolite-binding aptamers domains with similar structures in tandem. Lineage: Bacteria; Pseudomonadati; Pseudomonadota; Alphaproteobacteria; Hyphomicrobiales; Bartonellaceae. RNAcentral also lists the same sequence under 1 other name. The record is from RNAcentral.